GACGAACGCUGGCGGCGUGCUUAACACAUGCAAGUCGAACGGAAAGGCCCUGCUUUUGUGGGUUGCUCGAGUGGCGAACGGGUGUGUAACACGUGAGUAACCUGCCCUUGACUUUGGGAUAACUUCAGUAAACUGGGGCUAAUACCGGAUAGGAGCUCCUGCUGCAUGGUGGGGGUUGUAUAGUUUCGGCGGUUGGGGAUGUACUCGCGGCUUCUCAUCUUGUUGGUGGGGUAGUGGCUUACCAAGGCUUUGACGUGUAUCCGGCCUGAGAGGGUGACCGACAACAUUGGGAAUGAGAUACGGCCCAGACUCCUAAGGGAGGCAGCAGUAGGGAAUAUUGCACAAUGGGCGGAAGCAUGAUGAAGCAACGCCGCGUGAGGGAUGACGGACUUCGGGUUGAAAACAGCUAACGCCUGUGAGGAAGCGUGAGUGACGGUAAUAGGUAAAGAAGCACCGGCUAACUACGUG
Molecule: ribosomal RNA, 468 nt
Filed under: uncultured bacterium
Lineage: Bacteria
Description: partial 16S ribosomal RNA
Rfam family: Bacterial small subunit ribosomal RNA
Source: RNAcentral